Molecule: ribosomal RNA, 169 nt
Filed under: uncultured Escherichia sp.
Lineage: Bacteria; Pseudomonadati; Pseudomonadota; Gammaproteobacteria; Enterobacterales; Enterobacteriaceae
Description: partial 16S ribosomal RNA
Rfam family: Bacterial small subunit ribosomal RNA
Source: RNAcentral
GCUGACCGGGGCGCAGUCUGAUGCAGCCCUGCCGCGUGUAUGAAGAAGGCCUUCGGGUUGUAAAGUACUUUCGUCGGGGAGGAAGGGAGUAAAGUUAAUACCUUUGCUCAUUGACGUUACCCGCAUAAAAAGCCCCGGCUAACUCCGUGCCAGCGUCCGCGGUAAUAAA